GUGUCAGCCGCCGCGGUAAUACGUAGGUGGCGAGCGUUGUCCGGAAUUACUGGGUGUAAAGGGCGUGUAGGCGGGAAGACAAGUCAGAUGUGAAAUACCGUGGCUUAACCACGGGGCUGCAUCUGAAACUGUUUUUCUUGAGUGUCGGAGAGGAAAGUGGAAUUCCCAGUGUAGCGGUGAAAUGCGUAGAUAUUGGGAGGAACACCAGUGGCGAAGGCGACUUUCUGGACGAUAACUGACGCUGAGGCGCGAAAGCGUGGGGAGCAAACAGGAUUAGAUACCCGCGUAGUCC
RNAcentral lists this ribosomal RNA (292 nucleotides) under uncultured bacterium. RNAcentral describes it as "partial 16S ribosomal RNA". It matches the Rfam family "Bacterial small subunit ribosomal RNA", at positions 505 to 796 of the family's 1533-position model. The record is from RNAcentral.